This is a non-coding RNA of Pelobates cultripes (western spadefoot toad), 207 nucleotides long. NCBI's taxonomy places the organism in Eukaryota, Metazoa, Chordata, Amphibia, Anura, Pelobatidae. The record is from the annotation of a GenBank genome assembly.
GUAAAACUGUGUAUUUUCCUGCCUGUGAUAAUUACGUUAGCCCAUUGUAUUCAGUAAUUAUAUCACAGGCAGAGGGGAGGAUUUUGCUAUAAUGACUGGGUUUGUCAGACAGUGUUGUAUUGUUUUGAUUGGUUUGUGUCCUUUGUGUGCCAGUGUUCCAUCAGGUCCAGGGGGUGUCCUCUGGCCUGAGGAAUUGUAUGAAUUGUG